UACGUAGGGGGCAAGCGUUGUUCGGAAUUACUGGGCGUAAAGCGCGCGUAGGCGGAUCUGCAAGUCGGGGGUGAAAUCCCGAGGCUCAACCUCGGAACUGCCUUCGAUACUGCGGGUCUCGAGUCCGGGAGAGGUGAGUGGAAUUCCUAGUGUAGAGGUGAAAUUCGUAGAUAUUAGGAAGAACACCAGUGGCGAAGGCGGCUCACUGGCCCGGUACUGACGCUGAGGCGCGAAAGCGUGGGGAGCAAACAGG
RNAcentral lists this ribosomal RNA (253 nucleotides) under uncultured bacterium. RNAcentral's name for it is "partial 16S ribosomal RNA". It matches the Rfam family "Bacterial small subunit ribosomal RNA", at positions 524 to 776 of the family's 1533-position model. The record is from RNAcentral.